UUUUAGCCCAGAUAGUAGUGAAAAGCUUUUUGAAAUGGAGUUACAUUUUAUUACAAGAAAAGAGCGACCAAAGAGAGCUCCUUUUAUUGUUUAUAAAAAUGUAAACGAAAUAAAAAAACUUGUAACAAAUAGCUGGAUUUGCU
Molecule: small RNA, 143 nt
Filed under: Flavobacterium sp. CECT 9288
Lineage: Bacteria; Pseudomonadati; Bacteroidota; Flavobacteriia; Flavobacteriales; Flavobacteriaceae
Description: Flavo-1
Rfam family: Flavo-1 RNA
Source: RNAcentral